Molecule: unclassified non-coding RNA, 336 nt
Filed under: soil metagenome
Description: partial contains 5.8S ribosomal RNA, internal transcribed spacer 2, and large subunit ribosomal RNA
Rfam family: 5.8S ribosomal RNA (bases 1-119)
Source: RNAcentral
GAUGAAAACGCAGUGAAAUGCGAUAAGUAAUGUGAAUUGCAGAAUUCAGUGAAUCAUCGAAUCUUUGAACGCACAUUGCGCCCGCCAGUAUUCUGGCGGGCAUGCCUGUUCGAGCGUCAUUUCAACCAUCAAGCCCCCGGGCUUGUGUUGGGGACCUGCGGCUGCCGCAGGCCCUGAAAAGCAGUGGCGGGCUCGCUGUCACACCGAGCGUAGUAGAUUUUAUCUCGCUCUGGGCGUGCUGCGGGUUCCGGCCGUUAAACCACCCUUUUAACCCAAGGUUGACCUCGGAUCAGGUAGGAAGACCCGCUGAACUUAAGCAUAUCAAUAAGCGGAGGA